GGAGGAAAGCAGGGGAUCGCAAGACCUCGCGCUCUUGGAGCGGCCGAUGUCGGAUUAGCUAGUUGGUGAGGUAAAAGCUCACCAAGGCGACGAUCCGUAGCAGGUCUGAGAGGAUGAUCUGCCACACUGGGACUGAGACACGGCCCAGACUCCUACGGGAGGCAGCAGUGGGGAAUUUUGGACAAUGGGGGCAACCCUGAUCCAGCCAUGCCGCGUGAGUGAAGAAGGCCUUCGGGUUGUAAAGCUCUUUCGGCGGGGAAGAAAUGGCAACGGCUAAUAUCCGUUGUUGAUGACGGUACCCGCAUAAGAAGCACCGGCUAACUACGUGCCAGCAGCCGCGGUAAUACGUAGGGUGCGAGCGUUAAUCGGAAUUACUGGGCGUAAAGCGUGCGCAGGCGGUUUCGUAAGACAGACGUGAAAUCCCCGGGCUCAACCUGGGAACUGCGUUUGAAACUACAAGGCUAG
This 465-nucleotide ribosomal RNA is filed under the name uncultured ammonia-oxidizing beta proteobacterium. RNAcentral describes it as "bacterial SSU rRNA". It matches the Rfam family "Bacterial small subunit ribosomal RNA", at positions 198 to 644 of the family's 1533-position model. Lineage: Bacteria; Pseudomonadati; Pseudomonadota; Betaproteobacteria. The record is from RNAcentral.